GACGAACGCUGGCGGCGUGCCUAAUACAUGCAAGUAGAACGCUGAAGAGAGGAGCUUGCUCUCCUUGGAUGAUAUGCGAACGGGUGGGUAACGCGUAGAUAACCUGCCUUCUAGCGGGGGAUAACUAUUGGAAACGAUAGCUAAUAUCGCAUAACAAUGCUAGCCACAUGUUCUUUAUUUGAUAGGGGCAAUUGCUCCACUACAAGCUGGACCUGCGUUGUAUUAGCUAGUAGGUGGGGUAAUGGCUCACCUAGGCGACGAUACAUAGCCGACCUGAGUGGGUGAUGGCCCACAUUGGAAUGGGAAACGGGCCAAGACUCCUACGGGAGGCAGCGGUAGGGAACCUUCGGCAAUGGGGGAAGGCUUGACGGAGCACGCCCGCGUGGGUGAAGAGGGUUUUCGGAUCGUAAAGCCCGGUUGUCAGUAAAGAACGGGUGUGAGAGUGGAGAGUGAACGCUUGACGGGAAGCUUACAAAAAAGGGACGGUUACUUAGGU
This 496-nucleotide ribosomal RNA is filed under the name uncultured bacterium. RNAcentral describes it as "partial 16S ribosomal RNA". It matches the Rfam family "Bacterial small subunit ribosomal RNA", at positions 28 to 506 of the family's 1533-position model. The record is from RNAcentral.